Molecule: RNA transcript, 1663 nt
Organism: Jatropha curcas
Lineage: Eukaryota; Viridiplantae; Streptophyta; Magnoliopsida; Malpighiales; Euphorbiaceae
Gene name: 2-methyl-6-phytyl-1,4-hydroquinone methyltransferase, chloroplastic
Source: RefSeq, a predicted model, not a curated record
ACUAGUUCAGUUGCCAAGGCCAUCAAUGUGUGUGGUGCCUCUUCAACCUAUGAACUGUGAACUUUCUCUCUCCCCUUCUUUCGUUUUCUUCUGAAAGUCUCCAUUUUUUUUUUUAAUUGGAAAUAGGAAGCCAUUUUUAAUUCCUGUUUACGUUUACAGUCCUUAUCGACCUCCAAAACGAGGGUUCGGUAAGUAGUUUUCAUGGUAGGUUAGGUUUAGUUUGUUUAUAGUUUUUUAUUUCCAUAUCAUGGCUGCUUCAUUGCUCUAUGGAGCUGAUAAUUUCAAAUUCAUCAGUGGCACACCAACUGGGGUAGGCUUUACAGGGUCAAAAUUCCAUGUUAGUUGCUUCCCUAAGAAAAAUUUAGUAUCUUAUCAUAGAAAUACCCAAAUUUCAAGGAUCUUAGCUCCUAGAUGCAGUAGUUUAUCAUCUUCAAGGCCUGCUUCACAGCCUAGGUUCAUUCAACACAAGAAAGAGGCAUUUUGGUUCUAUAGGUUCUUGUCUAUUGUUUAUGAUCAUGUCAUAAACCCUGGUCACUGGACUGAGGAUAUGAGAGAUGAGGCACUUGAACCGGCAGAUCUUUUUAGUAGGAAUUUGAAAGUGGUAGAUGUUGGUGGUGGUACUGGAUUUACUACUUUGGGUAUUGUUAAACAUGUGGAUGCCAAGAAUGUUACAAUUCUUGAUCAGUCACCUCACCAGCUUGCCAAAGCUAAGCAGAAGGAGCCCUUGAAGGAGUGCCAGAUUAUUGAAGGGGAUGCAGAAGAUCUUCCCUUCCCAACUGAUUAUGCAGAUAGAUAUGUGUCUGCUGGGAGCAUCGAGUACUGGCCAGAUCCACAGCGUGGCAUCAAGGAAGCGUACAGGGUGCUGAAAAUCGGAGGAAAAGCUUGUAUUAUAGGUCCUGUGUACCCAACCUUUUGGCUGUCUCGCUUUUUUGCCGAUAUGUGGAUGCUCUUCCCUAAGGAGGAAGAGUAUAUAGAAUGGUUUCAAAAGGCUGGGUUCAAGGAUGUCAAACUGAAAAGAAUAGGUCCAAAAUGGUACCGUGGUGUCCGUCGGCAUGGCUUGAUUAUGGGCUGCUCUGUGACAGGGGUUAAGCCAUUAUCUGGAGAUUCUCCCCUGCAGCUUGGUCCUAAGUCAGAGGAUGUGAAGAAGCCUGUGAAUCCAUUUGUGUUUCUACUGCGCUUCCUUCUUGGGGCCAUGGCGGCCACAUACUAUGUGUUGGUUCCCAUCUACAUGUGGGUCAAAGAUCAAAUUGUUCCAAAGGGCAUGCCCAUUUGAGAUGAGCUGAAGAAGCAAUGGGAAUCAUCAAUCAUCAUUUUGCUGUUGUGUGUGAAAAAGGACUAAUUGCGGAUCUGGUUAGCCUAUUUGUGGUCAAUUUCUCCAAUUCUCUGGCUCAAUUUGAAGGUUCAAAGUCUUGCUUUUGGACCAUGACCCUGCCUGGAAAUUGGCAAACCAACAUGUGACUUCUAAACCUCUUUUAAAUCUGUAAUACUUGUCAAUGUUUGUCUGACAGAACCCAGUAACCAGCAAUGCUUAUACGUAUUGUAUUGUAUUGUAUUGUAUUGGAUACAUAUACAUGUACAUAUGAAGCUUUGUCUGGGUUUGACAGUAGAGAUUAUGGAAGAGUAUUAAAGAGAAACCGCGUGGACAGCCCAAUCUUCUUGUGUU